This 320-nucleotide ribosomal RNA is filed under the name uncultured eukaryote. RNAcentral's name for it is "partial 18S ribosomal RNA". It matches the Rfam family "Eukaryotic small subunit ribosomal RNA", at positions 1470 to 1796 of the family's 1831-position model. The record is from RNAcentral.
CCCCUAGAUGUUCUGGGCCGCACGCGCGCUACACUGAACAGUUCAACAAGUCUUAACCUUGGCCGAUAGGUCUGGGUAAUCUUUGAACGCUGUUCGUGAUUGGGAUAGACCUUUGCAAUUAUGGGUCUUCAACGAGGAAUUCCUAGUAAACGCAAGUCAUCAGCUUGCAUUGAUUACGUCCCUGCCCUUUGUACACACCGCCCGUCGCACCUACCGAUUGAAUGGUCCGGUGAAAUCUCGGGACGGCGGCUUGGUCGCUUGCGUCCGACUGCUGAAACUUGAUUAAACCAUAUCACUUAGAGGAAGGUGAANUCGUAACA